RNAcentral lists this non-coding RNA (31 nucleotides) under Mus musculus (house mouse). The record is from RNAcentral. Lineage: Eukaryota; Metazoa; Chordata; Mammalia; Rodentia; Muridae.
UCCUUGAACGAAGAUGAAAAGUGCAGUCAGU